Molecule: ribosomal RNA, 497 nt
Filed under: uncultured bacterium
Lineage: Bacteria
Description: partial 16S ribosomal RNA
Rfam family: Bacterial small subunit ribosomal RNA
Source: RNAcentral
GAUGAACGCUGGCGGCGUGCCUAAUACAUGCAAGUCGAGCGAACAGACGAUGAGCUUGCUCCUCUGACGUUAGCGGCGGACGGGUGAGUAACACGUGGAUAACCUACCUAUAAGACUGGGAUAACUUCGGGAAACCGGAGCUAAUACCGGAUAAUAUAUUGAACCGCAUGGUUCAAUGGAGAAAGACGGUGUUGCUGUCACUUAUAGAUGGAUCCGCGCGGCAUUAGCUAGUUGGUAAGGUAACGGCUUACCAAGGCAACGAUGGGUAGCCGACCGGAGAGGGUGAUAGCCCACCCUGGAACGUGGACACGCUCCAUACUCCUACGGGAGGCAGCAGUAGGGAAUCUUACGCAAUGGGCGAAAGCCUGACGGAGCAACGCCGCGUGAGUGAUGAAGGUCUUCGGAUCGUAAAACUCUGUUAUUAGGGAAGAACAAAUGUGUACGUAACUAUGCACGUCUUGACGGUAACUAAUCAGAAAGCAACGGCUAACUACGUG